Grus americana (Whooping crane) is the source of this 3309-nucleotide long non-coding RNA. RefSeq lists it as uncharacterized. NCBI's taxonomy places the organism in Eukaryota, Metazoa, Chordata, Aves, Gruiformes, Gruidae. The transcript has 4 exons. The record is from RefSeq and is a predicted model, not a curated record.
AGGGAUGGUGCUUCCUUGAGAGAUGCGCAGUGGGAGGGAGCGUCCCGGCCGCCGACGCACACACAGAGCACGUCCCUGGAGCAUGGUACAUACCAUAUUUGCGAAACAGAGCUUGGCGCGUCUGCAUAACUCAUUGCUGUGGAAAGAGUCAUCAGGAUGAUGUAUUGAAACACAGCCAUCUCCAUUAUGUAUUUUAUAGGUGAAGAGGAGAGCAGCCACUCCCAACUGUGAGUCCCUCGAAGGAAGCCAAAGCACGGGCUGUACUCGGAACAACACGUGAACUAAGGACAAGCUCCUCGGUGUCCGUAAAUCAGCAUCUCUCUGCUGACUCUACUGAAGCUACACUGAUUUACUCCAGAUCUGAAACGACUAUAUUCAUUUUUUUAACUGAACCUUAUUCUUUGCUGAUGUGACAUCUAUGAAGGUCGCAGAUAUGUCUGUGUGAUGCCGUAUGAAAGGAGACAGCACAAGGAGGUAGUCUUCAGUAAAAAAAAGAGACAGUUGAUUCAGAAAAAGUCCCAGUACCGCUACGCACGUGCCCGUACUCCUCCAUCACUUGAAGGCACUGACUGUACAUCCGUAAGCCCAGACGUGGACGUGCCGUUCAUUCACCCCGAAUAACGCUGCUGAGAUUGUCAAAAAAGGGGGCUUUUAGUACAGGCUGUGGUAAUGCUGCUGGGAUUUGGACACAAGGCUGUUAAGAGCCAUUUAUCACGUUUUUUCAGUAUUUCAGAAGUACUGGUUUUCUUGAGAAAACAGAAGUUGGACUAAUGCUCAUAUGCAAAUUGCAUCUUGCUGAAAUCCAUGAAACUGCUCGUAGACUGGAGAACUCUUCUGAGUAAAGCAGGGUCCCCGCUAACUUUAUCUGUUAUUCACCAUUUUCCUUACUGAACAACAAGAGCUUCUUUUCUGUCUAAUUAGAAGGACAACAUCUCGUUACUUCUUCGCGGUGUGAUGAAUUCCCCAGACACAGAAGACUAAACUUGGCAGUGGUGUGAAAUGGCCCUGUGGUCAGGAGCUCCGUCGGUGGCUGGAGGUGGACACGCAGACUCACCCAGGCUCAGCAGUGUCCCGGGGAGCCCGCGGGCUCGGACACUAGCCACGGGCCAGGCUCUGCUAGCCGUACUCUAGCUUGGGGAGUCCCUCUUCCCUCAAGGAGUCAGAGGGAGAAGAAAUAUUGGAUGGUGAUGUACUCCUCUUUGUGGAUUAAAAGACAAAAUCUAGCCGUAUGCUCAUACUCAACCUUUAUAUGUAAAUUAGAAUCAAGAAGCACCCACCCAAAUAUUAAGAAAGUCCUGAUUGCAUAAGAACUCCAUUAAGUAAGGUAGCAUCCGCCACCUAGGGAGUCACGCAAGAAAUGCAGGGAAACACCUAUGAUUAAAAUUGUAAAUAAAGUUUUCCACUUAAGUGUAAACAGCUCAUAUCCAGUUUCCCCUGCACCUGCCAGGAGGCAACCGGAUCUCGGUGCCAAGGCCAUCGCCGAGAAGGGAUGCCACCCUUCCUCCCACAGAAAACUCCAGAACGGGGCAGCAGAGCUCACGAGCACCACUUUGUCUUCACGGCAAAUAUUGCUGUUUUAACAUGGAAAGAGAACAGGAGUGCACCAGUGAGUACUGCUGACCAGGCCAUGUGCUUGCGUCUUGCCGAUGAUGUCCAAGCAGCAGGACGAGGAGCACGGAGAGCAGAACAUCGGCAGCCACCAGAGAUCCCUGCUCUGGUUCGGCCCCAUUCUCCAAUGGAGCCAUGCACACGCGUUGUCUCAGUUUGUAAUCCUUACACUGGCAAAUUCCUUCCCUACUCACAGAGCAAAGCAACGAAGAUGGAGACCCUAUGGCGUGCAGUCUCUGAAUGAGGAGCGGGUGUCAGCCCAAACCCACGGGCACGGCACGGGCUGGGGCAGGGCAGCGCCUGUCCCACCACCGCCGAGCACGGUCCAUGUCUCGGGUUAUGAAGAACACGCUGCUCGAUCUCACUUUUUGGUUAAUAAUCUUGGCUUGUGCUAGCUGUUUUUAACCUGAUGUUCCUCUUUUUCUCUCAUCUAUCUCUGUCCGUUUCUUACUGUCUUGAAAAAUAAAGCAAUCGUCACUGGAAAUGCCAGGUCAAGACAUGAAAACAAAGAGUUUACUCCUACAGUAAGAGCACAAGUCCUCAUGGUAAACUCCGUCCGACAAUCUCUCGAUCACCACUACAGCAAAAACAUAAGUAAUUUAUUCAAUAAAUUCUGCCUCAUUUUCUUGUCACAAAUUGCCAGUAUUCACUAUUCAGUUCUUCACAAAGUAAUUUCUGCAGACAAUUCUUGAUCUGAAGUUCAUUUGUAGUUCAUCUUCAGAAUUAAUUUCUUUUUGUUGGACACAUUAAUGGCAUAUUACUUGUAAUUCUUCUAAUGAGGCUUCCAGCAUGAACACUUGCAUUUACAAGUUCAAAAUAGGUUUUAUGAAAAUAUUCCCCACUUGCUUAAAACUGAUUUACAAAAAUGUCCAAGUAAAUUGCUAAAUAUUCAUGAGAAGUGGAUAUAAAAUACCCCUGAACAAAAAUGAAAUCAGCCAGCCAAAUAUUUCUGGCUGGGAGAAGAGGGAAGCUGGUGGGACAUUAAGGUCCCCCUGUUCGUUGUCCCAUCCAGGGGACCCCAUGGUGGAUGGACUGCUGGGUCACCACCACAGCUAACUCCAGCCUGGUGACUGUCAGUUUUUAGGUCUUUCCUCAACUGUGGUUAUAAUUCCUCCAUCCUAAUUCCAACACAGUCACAGUUCAUGUAAGACAUGGGUUGACCUCUUGGAGCCGUGCUCCAUUACUGGUUUCGGUUCAGCAGCAUAACAAGGAGAAAGCUCUGCCCAGAAACCUUGUGAAUAAAGGGGAAGACAAAUUCUUUUGUUCUCUGGAUAAAAGAGAUGUGUGCAGGCUACGGGAGAUGCCAGCUGGGGCUGGGUCUUCCUUCUCACUGCUUUCUCACCGCCUAGCCCCAGAACCGCAGUCUGGAGGCCAAGGUGGUGGCCAAGAGCUGGUCCCGCUCUCGGUGGGCUCCCCCGUCCCUGGCAUCCAGGGAAGAAUUCCAGGGCUUCACAUAAACCUAAGAUUUUUGUGGCGUGUGGAAUGUUGUUUCUUUUUGUGGGUUUCCUUUCCCUCCUCCGUGACCGCUGUCACGCCGUCGCUGCGCUCAGCUCAAGGUACCUGCAGGAGCUGAAGCUCCGGCGAGCGGCUGCUCCCGAGCAGCCUGCGGAGCUCCGUCUGACAAACGCAUUUCUCCAAGGCGUCUGGUGAGUGCUCUUCCCUACCUCUGUUUUCCCAGUAACAUUCUAGGUUACAUGUUGU